GGGGCAUUUCAUUCUUGAUCAUCUCACAGAAGAACUUGCCUACUUGGGAAACCUUUUUAUCUUUUAUCAGACGAUGAAAAAUCAUAUUAUAAGUUAAAAUAUCUGGAAAAGCUCCAUUGAAGACCAUCUCAUCAAGCAACCGAAAUGCAUUGUCAAUGUCACUCUUGUUGCAAAGCAAGCUAAUCAUCCUAUUGUACAUAAUCAAAUUAGGCACUAACCCACUGUCCAGCAUUAUAUCCCACAAUGGGACAGAAUUCACAUAAUCAUUCUGCUUACAAAGCAUAUCAAGAGUAUUAGAGAAAAAUUUCAAACCUGGGACGCAAGCCUUCCCCUUCAUAACAUUGAGGAACUUGAGAGCCUCAUCUAUUUGCGAGGCUUGAACAAGUGUGGUCAAAAACGCAUCAUAUGCAGGUACGUUUGAUGGGCUCCAUCCAAUGCGAACAACCAUCUCGUCAAAUGUAAUCCUUGCUUUUGCAGGGUUGCCUUCCUUCUCCCACCCUUCCAACAAAAUAGCAAAUGU
RNAcentral lists this unclassified non-coding RNA (520 nucleotides) under Hevea brasiliensis (rubber tree). Lineage: Eukaryota; Viridiplantae; Streptophyta; Magnoliopsida; Malpighiales; Euphorbiaceae. The record is from RNAcentral.